Molecule: ribosomal RNA, 422 nt
Filed under: uncultured Bacteroidales bacterium
Lineage: Bacteria; Pseudomonadati; Bacteroidota; Bacteroidia; Bacteroidales
Description: bacterial SSU rRNA
Rfam family: Bacterial small subunit ribosomal RNA
Source: RNAcentral
UGAGGAAUAUUGGUCAAUGGGCGAGAGCCUGAACCAGCCAAGUAGCGUGAAGGAUGAAGGUCCUAUGGAUUGUAAACUUCUUUUAUAUGGGAAUAAAACCUUCCACGAGUGGAAGUUUGUAUGUACCUUAUGAAUAAGCAUCGGCUAACUCCGUGCCAGCAGCCGCGGUAAUACGGAGGAUGCGAGCGUUAUCCGGAUUUAUUGGGUUUAAAGGGAGCGCAGACGGGAUGUUAAGUCAGCUGUGAAAGUUUGGGGCUCAACCUUAAAAUUGCAGUUGAUACUGUCAUUCUUGAGUGCAGUUGAGGUAGGCGGAAUUCGUGGUGUAGCGGUGAAAUGCUUAGAUAUCACGAAGAACUCCGAUUGCGAAGGCAGCUUACUAAACUGUAACUGACGUUCAUGCUCGAAAGUGUGGGUAUCAAACA